This 469-nucleotide ribosomal RNA is filed under the name uncultured bacterium. Its description in RNAcentral is "partial 16S ribosomal RNA". It matches the Rfam family "Bacterial small subunit ribosomal RNA", at positions 28 to 507 of the family's 1533-position model. The record is from RNAcentral.
GACGAACGCUGGCGGCGUGCUUAACACAUGCAAGUCGAACGGAAAGGCCCUGCUUGCAGGGUGCUCGAGUGGCGAACGGGUGAGUAACACGUGGGUGAUCUGCCCCUUACUUUGGGAUAAGCCUGGGAAACUGGGUCUAAUACUGGAUAGGGCCAUGCUGUAGGUGGUGUGGUGGAAAGAUUAGUUUCGGUAAGGGAUGAGCUCGCGGCCUAUCAGCUUGUUGGUGGGGUAAUGGCCUACCAAGGCGUCGACGGGUAGCCGGCCUGAGAGGGUGGACGGCCACAUUGGGACUGAGAUACGGCCCAGACUCCUACGGGAGGCAGCAGUGGGGAAUAUUGCACAAUGGGGGCAAGCCUGAUGCAGCGACGCCGCGUGGGGGAUGACGGCCUUCGGGUUGUAAACUCCUUUCAGCCAUGACGAAGCCCUUGUGGUGACGGUAGUGGUAGAAGAAGCACCGGCUAACUACGUG